This 463-nucleotide ribosomal RNA is filed under the name uncultured bacterium. Its description in RNAcentral is "bacterial SSU rRNA". It matches the Rfam family "Bacterial small subunit ribosomal RNA", at positions 917 to 1382 of the family's 1533-position model. The record is from RNAcentral.
GGGCCCGCACAAGCAGUGGAGUAUGUGGUUUAAUUCGAAGCAACGCGAAGAACCUUACCAGGAAUUGACAUCCCUCGCAAUCUGUUGAAAGACAGAGUUCCCUCGGGACGGGGAGACAGGUGGUGCAUGGUUGUCGUCAGCUCGUGUCGUGAGAUGUUGGGUUAAGUCCCGCAACGAGCGCAACCCUUGUUGUUAGUUGCCAUCAGGUAAAGCUGGGCACUCUAACGAGACUGCCGGUGACAAAUCGGAGGAAGGUGGGGAUGACGUCAAAUCAUCAUGCCCCUUAUGUUCUGGGCUACACACGUACUACAAUGGCUGUUACAGAGGGGAGCGAAACCGCAAGGCAGAGCCAAUCCCAAAAAACAGUCUCAGUUCGGAUUGUGGGCUGAAACCCGCCCGCAUGAAGUCGGAAUUGCUAGUAAUGGCAGGUCAUCAUACUGCCGUGAAUACGUUCCCGGGCCUU